This 1895-nucleotide ribosomal RNA is filed under the name human gut metagenome. RNAcentral describes it as "bacterial LSU rRNA". It matches the Rfam family "Bacterial large subunit ribosomal RNA", at positions 3 to 1996 of the family's 2925-position model. The record is from RNAcentral.
UCAAGCUACAAAGAGCGUAAGGGGAAUGCCUUGGCACCAGGAGCCGACGAAGGACGCAGCGAUCUGCGAAAAGCCACGGGGAGCCGAAAGCAGGCUUUGAUCCGUGGAUAUCCGAAUGGGGAAACCCGCAUGGUUAAUAGCCAUGCGACGUAUACUGAAUAAAUAGGUAUGCGUCGGGAACCGUCUGAACUGAAACAUCUAAGUAGGACGAGGAAAAGAAAUCAACCGAGAUUCCGUAAGUAGUGGCGAGCGAACACGGAAGAGGCCAAACCGAAGGUAGCAAUAUCUUCGGGGUACGGACAGUAAACGGCAUUGCGGUAUCUUAGCAGAAGUGCAUGGGACGGCACACCAUAGAGAGUGAUAGUCUCGUAAGCGAAAAGAGAAGGCAGCCAACUGUAUCCAGAGUACCGCCGGACACGUGAAACCCGGUGGGAACAUGGGGGGACCAUCCUCCAAGCCUAAAUACUCCCUGGUGACCGAUAGAGAACAGUACUGUGAAGGAAAGGUGAAAAGAACCCCGGGAGGGGAGUGAAAAGAACCUGAAACCUUAUGCUUACAAGCACCGAGAGCCCAUCAAAGGGUGAUCGGGUACCUUUUGUAGAAUGGUCCGGCGAGUGAAUGUAACUGGCAAGGUUAAGCACUUCAGGUGUGGAGCCGAAGCGAAAGCAAGUCUUAAUAGGGCGUCAAGUCAGUUGUAUUCGACCCGAAACCGUGUGACCUAGCCAUGAGCAGGCUGAAGUGGAGGUAAAACUCCAUGGAGGGCCGAACCCACUCCCGUUGAAAUGGUAGGGGAUGACUUGUGGCUAGCGGAGAAAUUCCAAUCGAACUCGGAGAUAGCUGGUUCUCUCCGAAAUAGCUUUAGGGCUAGCCUCGAUUUGACAUUACCGGAGGUAAAGCACUGAAUGGGCUAGGGGCCGAGAGGUUACUGAACCCUAUCAAACUAAGAAUGCCGGAUAAUGAUAAUCGGGAGUCAGACAGUGUGAGAUAAGUUUCAUUGUCAAAAGGGAAACAGCCCAGACCCACAGCUAAGGUCCCAAAGUACAGUUAAGUGGUGAAGGAUGUGGAAUUGCAUAGACAACCAGGAUGUUGGCUUAGAAGCAGCCACUCAUUAAAAGAGUGCGUAAUAGCUCACUGGUCGAGUGAUUCUGCGCCGAAAAUUUAACGGGGCUAAAUUGUACACCGAAGCUUGGGAUACAUCUAAUGUAUGGUAGGAGAGCGUUGUAUACGGGGUGAAGUCAGAGCGGAAGCGCUGGUGGACUGUAUACAAGUGAGAAUGCCGGAAUGAGUAGCGAGAAUUAUGUGAGAAUCAUAAUGGCCGAAAGACUAAGGUUUUAGAAGGAAGGUUCGUCCGCUUCUAGUCAGCCGGGAGCUAAGGCGAGGCCGAAAGGCGUAGUCGAUGCACAUACGGUGGAGAUUCCGUAGCCGCCAUUAAUUUAAACAGAGGGACACUUUCAAGGGGCAUGACCCGGGCGUUGGUAGACCCGGGCGUAAGGGACCGAAGAUUAGUAGGGAAGCAUGCUUUAAGGAAGGCGAGAAAAGCUCUGUGUAUAGAAGAUGGCGCCCGUACCGCAAACCGACACAGGUAGUCAGGAAGAGAAUUCUAAGGCCAACGGGAGAAGGGUAGUUAAGGAACUCGGCAAAUUGACCCCGUAACUUCGGAAUAAGGGGUGCUCACGAGAGUGAGCCGCAGUGAAUAGGUCCAGGCGACUGUUUAUCAAAAACACAGCUCUCUGCUAAAUCGAAAGAUGACGUAUAGGGGGUGACACCUGCCCGGUGCUGGAAGGUUAAGAGGAAGGGUGCAAGCUCUGAAUUGAAGCCCCAGUAAACGGCGGCCGUAACUAUAACGGUCCUAAGGUAGCGAAAUUCCUUGUCGGGUAAGUUCCGACCCGCACGAA